This is a long non-coding RNA of Helicoverpa zea (corn earworm), 481 nucleotides long. RefSeq lists it as uncharacterized. The transcript has 2 exons. NCBI's taxonomy places the organism in Eukaryota, Metazoa, Arthropoda, Insecta, Lepidoptera, Noctuidae. The record is from RefSeq and is a predicted model, not a curated record.
CGCAAUACAACCCUUCGUAGCGAAUCAACGUAGUUUUUAUUGAAAUCUCUGCAUGCACCCCCGCUCCGCCCCGCAUGGGGCCGUAAAGGAAAUGACAUGUGGUUCCCUAAUUAUACUCGUUCGUGAUUUGAGUAACCCCCAUGAAGGACAUCCACACAAACCUUACUGCACUAUGGUCCGCACACCUGCCGAAACAUUCCUUGCCCGAAAACUUCGGCACUAUAUACCCUACGAUUUUAGUAUCCCCAAACUAAAGCCCGGACAUAGAAAAACAAUGGGCAUUUAAUUCACCAAGUUAACCACACAGCCUGCGCCGGAGUCAGUUUUUGUCUCAACAAUAAAUCAUAGUUAGGUGCCAUUUACAGCCUUCUGGCCGUUUUGUUUGAAUUUUAUUUCGUUAUCAAAUAUGUUUGGAUUUUUUUAAAGCUUUGGGGUCCUCAUUCAUUACGAUUUCUUAAUAAAAAUAGUUUGAAACUACGUA